Molecule: long non-coding RNA, 502 nt
Filed under: Mus musculus (house mouse)
Lineage: Eukaryota; Metazoa; Chordata; Mammalia; Rodentia; Muridae
Description: lincRNA-EC106
Source: RNAcentral
GCGGGCCGCAGGUUUAGUCCUGGUUGUGGAGUGGGAUGCUGAGAUGGGUCUGGAGGGAUGCAGGAUGUUCUAGGCCGUUAGGAUGGUAAAUAGGGACCUCGCUCCGCGAGGGAUGCUGAACGGGGUCUGGAAGAAUGCAAGAUGUCCUGGUCCGGGCCAGGAAUGGUUACAUGGAUAGUGGGAUGUCAGAAGGGGAAUUGUAGUGAAUCACCCUUCUAUCCAAUCAACUGACAACACAGCAAUGAUCCCACAUCAUCCCAGCCCGAGAAAAACUCAGGGUUGGUGCCGGUGCUGAGCAGCUACUGGCCAGGAGCUGGAUGUCAGAUCCCUGGGAGGAUAUGAGAGGAUGUUUCCAGAAACACCGAACUAAAAAGGAACGUCCAACCCUGAAUGUGGAGGACAUCCUCCUCUGGGCUGGGCUCCCAGACUGAGUAAGAAGAAAAUAAGUUGAGCUCGCCCCCCCCCCCCCCAGCGCUGUAGAUACAGUGUGACCAGUUACCAG